This 497-nucleotide ribosomal RNA is filed under the name uncultured bacterium. RNAcentral describes it as "partial 16S ribosomal RNA". It matches the Rfam family "Bacterial small subunit ribosomal RNA", at positions 28 to 507 of the family's 1533-position model. The record is from RNAcentral.
GAUGAACGCUGGCGGCGUGCCUAAUACAUGCAAGUCGAGCGAACGGACGAGAAGCUUGCUUCUCUGAUGUUAGCGGCGGACGGGUGAGUAACACGUGGAUAACCUACCUAUAAGACUGGGAUAACUUCGGGAAACCGGAGCUAAUACCGGAUAAUAUUAUGAACCGCAUGGUUCAAAAGUGAAAGACGGUCUUGCUGUCACUUAUAGAUGGAUCCGCGCUGCAUUAGCUAGUUGGUAAGGUAACGGCUUACCAAGGCAACGAUGCAUAGCCGACCUGAGAGGGUGAUCGGCCACACUGGAACUGAGACACGGUCCAGACUCCUACGGGAGGCAGCAGUAGGGAAUCUUCCGCAAUGGGCGAAAGCCUGACGGAGCGACGCCGCGUGAGUGAUGAAGGUCUUCGGAUCGUAAAACUCUGUUAUUAGGGAAGAACAUAUGUGUAAGUAACUGUGCACAUCUUGACGGUACCUAAUCAGAAAGCCACGGCUAACUACGUG